RNAcentral lists this small RNA (123 nucleotides) under Salmonella enterica. RNAcentral's name for it is "partial RtT sRNA". It matches the Rfam family "RtT RNA". Rfam says of the family: This family represents a bacterial cis-regulatory element known as RtT RNA. The exact function of RtT is unknown although it is thought that it may be involved in changing the cellular response in relation to amino acid starvation. RNAcentral also lists the same sequence under 1 other name. Lineage: Bacteria; Pseudomonadati; Pseudomonadota; Gammaproteobacteria; Enterobacterales; Enterobacteriaceae. The record is from RNAcentral.
AUAUCUCUCUGUACGGGAAGGAUGAGAAGCUUCUACCAGGGUUCGAUUCGAGCGCAGCGAGAAAGCGUUGCCGCAGGCAACGACCCGAAGGGCGAAGCGCGCAGCGCUGAGUCAUCCUUCCCC